This 256-nucleotide ribosomal RNA is filed under the name uncultured bacterium. Its description in RNAcentral is "partial 16S ribosomal RNA". It matches the Rfam family "Bacterial small subunit ribosomal RNA", at positions 521 to 776 of the family's 1533-position model. The record is from RNAcentral.
UAAUACGGAGGAUCCAAGCGUUAUCCGGAUUUAUUGGGUUUAAAGGGUGCGUAGGCGGGCCUUUAAGUCAGCGGUGAAAGUUCGUGGCUCAACCACGGAAUUGCCGUUGAUACUACUGGCCUUGAGUGUGGACGAGGUGUGCGGAAUUCGUGGUGUAGCGGUGAAAUGCUUAGAUAUCACGAAGAACACCGAUUGCGUAGGCAGCUCACCAGACCACAACUGACGCUGAGGCACGAAGGUGCGGGGAUCAAACAGG